This 464-nucleotide ribosomal RNA is filed under the name uncultured bacterium. Its description in RNAcentral is "partial 16S ribosomal RNA". It matches the Rfam family "Bacterial small subunit ribosomal RNA", at positions 28 to 507 of the family's 1533-position model. The record is from RNAcentral.
GACGAACGCUGGCGGCGUGCUUAACACAUGCAAGUCGUACGGUAAGGCCCUUUCGGGGGUACACGAGUGGCGAACGGGUGAGUAACACGUGAGUAACCUGCCCACAACUUUGGGAUAACGCUAGGAAACUGGUGCUAAUACUGGAUAUGUGCUCCUGCUGCAUGGUGGGGGUUGGAAAGCUCCGGCGGUUGUGGAUGGACUCGCGGCCUAUCAGCUUGUUGGUGGGGUAGUGGCCUACCAAGGCGGCGACGGGUAGCCGGCCUGAGGGGUGACCGGCCACAUUGGGACUGAGAUACGGCCCAGACUCCUACGGGAGGCAGCAGUGGGGAAUAUUGCACAAUGGGCGCAAGCCUGAUGCAGCAACGCCGCGUGCGGGAUAACGGCCUUCGGGUUGUAAACCGCUUUCAGCAGGGACGAAGCUUUUUGUGACGGUACCUGCAGAAGAAGCACCGGCCAACUACGUG